Molecule: non-coding RNA, 138 nt
Organism: Hordeum vulgare subsp. vulgare (domesticated barley)
Lineage: Eukaryota; Viridiplantae; Streptophyta; Magnoliopsida; Poales; Poaceae
Source: Rfam
UAUGUACUUCCUCUGUUUCAAAAUUAUUGUCUUGGAUUUGUGUAGAUACAAAUGUAUCUAGUUAUGUUUUAGUAUUUAGAUAUAUAUUUAUUUUUAUACAAAACUAAGAUAAGAAUUUUGGGACGGAGGGAGUAUGAA